UUUCCGUAGGUGAACCUGCGGAAGGAUCAUUAUCGAGUCUUUGAAGUGGGUCUUUGAGCUGGCGUGUAUUCGCAAGUGCUCGGGCCCCGCUCCAAAUCCACUCAACACCUGUGCACUUUCGGAGGAUCCGUGGGGCUUCUUUGAAGCCCGUGCGGCCUUCGUCUCUUUAUCACAAACAUUGUAUUAUGGUUUUGUAGAACGCAUUGAAGCUCUUACGGGAGCAUCAAACACACAAUACAACUUUCAACAACGGAUCUCUUGGCUCUCGCAUCGAUGAAGAACGCAGC
This 287-nucleotide unclassified non-coding RNA is filed under the name uncultured fungus. RNAcentral's name for it is "sequence contains ITS1, 5.8S rRNA gene". The stretch from base 239 to 287 matches the Rfam family "5.8S ribosomal RNA", at positions 1 to 49 of the family's 154-position model. Lineage: Eukaryota; Fungi. The record is from RNAcentral.